AGGUAGGACUACCCGCUGAACUUAAGCAUAUCUA
Molecule: ribosomal RNA, 34 nt
Filed under: Ganoderma cupreum
Lineage: Eukaryota; Fungi; Basidiomycota; Agaricomycetes; Polyporales; Polyporaceae
Description: partial 26S ribosomal RNA
Source: RNAcentral